Molecule: transfer RNA, 74 nt
Filed under: Anaerolineaceae bacterium
Lineage: Bacteria; Bacillati; Chloroflexota; Anaerolineae; Anaerolineales; Anaerolineaceae
Also listed under: 1 other name
Description: tRNA-Arg
Rfam family: tRNA
About the family: Transfer RNA (tRNA) molecules are approximately 80 nucleotides in length. Their secondary structure includes four short double-helical elements and three loops (D, anti-codon, and T loops). Further hydrogen bonds mediate the characteristic L-shaped molecular structure. tRNAs have two regions of fundamental functional importance: the anti-codon, which is responsible for specific mRNA codon recognition, and the 3' end, to which the tRNAs corresponding amino acid is attached (by aminoacyl-tRNA synthetases). tRNAs cope with the degeneracy of the genetic code in two manners: having more than one tRNA (with a specific anti-codon) for a particular amino acid; and 'wobble' base-pairing, i.e. permitting non-standard base-pairing at the 3rd anti-codon position.
Source: RNAcentral
GCCCCCGUAGCGCAAUUGGAUAGAGCGUUUGCUUGCGGAGCAAAAGGUUGAGUAUUCGAAUUACUCCGGGGGCA